Oryzias latipes (Japanese medaka) is the source of this 1325-nucleotide long non-coding RNA. RefSeq lists it as uncharacterized. The record is from RefSeq and is a predicted model, not a curated record. NCBI's taxonomy places the organism in Eukaryota, Metazoa, Chordata, Actinopteri, Beloniformes, Adrianichthyidae.
UUUGUUCUGGGUACCCAUGGCAACAACAGGGAGGAGUCACAUGACUGAGCUGAGGAACUGGUUACCAAGUCCCAAACAAGGAAGACACGGCGAGGCACAAGACCGAGACGAAGGUCAGUCCAUGUUUUAAAGAUUACUGAGAAUGUUGUUUUUUUACUGCUUACAAAACUAUAACAACAACAAAAUACAGUAUAGUCUUAUUUUAUAAUCCAGACAGACGAAAAAAAAUUUUGUCCUUUUUGUCCUGCUGUUUCAGUUCCACACACACACCACUAGUUGUCAGUAUGGUUGGAUGUUGGACUUCCUUACUCAUUACUGAAUAAUGCUAAAUGUUCAGUAGUGUGACGGUGUGGCACCGUCAGAUGACGAGGGGGGGCCACACCGUGUUUUAUUGUUUGUGUAUUGAUGUGCUUUGUUAUUUAUGACUACCACCUGUGGUGCCGCCUGGACGGGAAUGGAGAGCAACGCCCCGUGGGCGUGGCAUCCCAUUUAAAGGUGAGCACCGCAGGUGGUGAAAGGAGGAGUGACGGAGGUGCCAUGCGCUGUGUGGCCCUGCGUGUAGCAGCACCCCUGCACCCCCACCUCUGACAAAUGCUGAGGAGAUGGCCCUGAGUCUGAACAGUGGAAGGCCGGUGGCUGAGGGAAUUCCUGCAGGGAGUUCAUCAGAGCCAGUCACUCACUCCCCAGGAAACAAGUGCCUUCAUCAAAUAUUCUGAUGGCAAUAUCGUCCUUUUAGACCCUCCUGUCACAACUGAACCCCAGGCAGUUAAAUUAAAAACUUUGAUGCUCUCGCGGGCCACAUGAAAUGACAUGGAGGGCCACAUUUGGCCCCCGGGCCUUGGGUUUGACACAUGUGAUGUAGAGGAUGACACACUGUCUGCUUAUACCGACAGACCUAUAGAGAGUGUGGAGGAACAACCGCCGCAGGAUGAGGAGGAGGAGGUGGAGGUGGAAGGUCCAUCAAACUCCUCUGCACGGAUGAACACAGUUCAGUGACGUACAGUAAAUGCCAGAGUGUUAUUCUAUGGAAUUCAUGUUGAAUGAACAUGGACCCCACACUACUGUACUUUCAGUCACCAGUUAAGGAGUUGUAUAGAUUUCAUCUUAAUAAACAAAUUGAGAAGACCGAUAAAGAGAUGUCCUACUUAGAUCGAAAGAUCCUUAAGUCAGAUCUGGAAAUUGAGAUCCUAAAACACAAGCUACAGGUAUGGUGUGUAUUGUGAUUGGUGAAUUCUAUAAAGGUUUUGGAUGAAUAUUGAAUUCUUACUGUUGCUUUUCAAUUUGUAAGAAAUAAGGAAGACCAAAUAAAUUGUGACUUGAAUUUA